ACCUCAUCAUAGGUCUUGGGACUAUUCCUAAUGUCCCUAUCUCCCACAAGAAAUGCUUCAUCUAAAUUCUCUAUAAGAAUACCUAAGUACCUUUCAGGAGGAUGGAAGAGCCUACUUGAUCUACGAGGUGGAGGAGGUACCACAUCUACUGGUUCACUACUGGAUUCAGAUUCUUGGAUUCGAUGCUCCUCAGAGACUUUCUUUUCAAGCUCAAUCUUCCUCCUACUGCCUCCAUCUUGGAUAAAUUUUUUUUUCAAGAAGACAGCAUGACGGCUCACAAUC
RNAcentral lists this long non-coding RNA (282 nucleotides) under Elaeis guineensis (African oil palm). Its description in RNAcentral is "long non-coding RNA (EGUI_LNC059210)". The record is from RNAcentral. Lineage: Eukaryota; Viridiplantae; Streptophyta; Magnoliopsida; Arecales; Arecaceae.